CGGAGAUUGGUUCCGCCCGGACCAUAAUUCUCAAACACCGGGAACUCCGGGAAGGGAAAUCAGGGUUUUAUUGAUCGCAGGUGGAUAGAUGAACGGGGCGAUCGUGGAUUGGGCAGUAUGAAGAGAAGGAGGAGUAUAAAGAGGGCCUCAGAAACUGCAGAAGAGAAGGAGGGGAGUUCUUUGUUUUAUGUGAGCCGAUACGGCGACCCGGACCCUGCGUGAGUUGGAGGGUUCGGGGGAGUACAGUGGAAAGAAGGCAGAGGAUAUUGUUGGCUGGGCAAAGACGGAGACAAGGGUUUGGCAGAAACAGAAACCGGGCUGAGUAUAUUGGGAUGUAUUCUUAACUGUGAAAUGCUCCAUGGAUAUGUGUAACAAAUUCGGAGUGGUUGAAAACAGGAAGACUCACCGGAAGUAUCGCCGAAGGAGGCCUUUUCGACAGGGCACGUGGCAGCAGGAGAAGUAUCCAGGAGCUGGAAAGAAGAGGGAAAAGAGACCUCGUGUUAGUAACGGUGUGAGUACCCUAAACCAUCGUACAGCAGUAUAAUCAUCUAGAGUGAACCAUCUGUGAGCGUUUUGUGAGUUGUGGCAUAGUAUGUGAGCGGCCCCACUGGGGAGGAGGAUUGUGGGUGAGCCGGGACCAGUGAGCGAGAGGAUGUUAGGUUGUUGUGGCGGCAACGUAUAAAUCUGAAUAUUCGUGGCAUCAGUGUCUUCACGACUUCCAGGACGAGUCUUUGGUCAGACGGGGUUUUGACCCUAAAUUCACCAGGAGUGUGUGGAGUGCAGUGGGUGAGUCUUUGUCCUUUGCUGUGAGUGUAUACACUUGGAAAUUGCAGUGUUGUGCGGUGUUGUGUCGUCAACAACCACUUUUCAGGCCCGACGAAAUCCUGUGAAGGAAGCGAGUACCGAGGCGGGCGAAGAAAACAUCUCCAAUUAUAUGCCGUCAAAUGACCUCCUGACCCUUCUUCCCCACGUGACGGUGGUGGGAAACAAUUUCAAGUAAGAACAGUGUGGAUCUAUUGGGAAGUAUUAAUGGUGAGGAGUUGGCUGCUGUGGGAGGAAAUCAGCUGUGCGUGUAUUAUUACCUGCUGAGGAGUUCUUCAAAGGUCAGCAGUUGGUAGAAGCCUCAGAAAAGGAACGUCUGACGUCUAUUCCCUCGAAGAUCUAGCGGGUCCCUUUGAAGCGUCUACCUGCAUGUCGACUUGUCACUCAGGAUACAGAGACCGUGGAAACCCCCUCCCGUACACUUACCAGUACGGUUUUAGUUGGAUCCCGGCAGCCCUUGGGCAGUUCCCCCAGCAUCUGGACGACCGGGAGUAUAAUCCGCUGGGUCGCCUCGGAGUUCGUCAAAAGUAGCAGCAGGUAUCCAUUGUGCAUCCAAACUUUCAAUACUUACCACUUGUAUCUGUUACGUCCAGGGAAGGAGAGGGCCCUGGACAGUCGUCCUGCAAGCCAGAACAAAGGGGCACUUGUGAAUAAGCUGAUUGUCGUCACAUAGCCAGAAGGAAAGAGGAGUGAAGGACUCACCUGAGAUCUCCCGUGACGGAGUCUAAGAGACUCGAGACUGUUACUCUCCAAAAGGAGGGUUGGAUUUUAGCCUCCCUUCCCCAUACCCUUUUUUUUAGUAAUUUAAUAAAGUCUGUUUUAAUAUUUA
Cyprinus carpio (common carp) is the source of this 1651-nucleotide long non-coding RNA. RefSeq lists it as uncharacterized. The transcript has 2 exons. Lineage: Eukaryota; Metazoa; Chordata; Actinopteri; Cypriniformes; Cyprinidae. The record is from RefSeq and is a predicted model, not a curated record.